AGAGGAUCCGAGCGUUAUCCGGAUUUAUUGGGUUUAGAGGGAGCGUAGAUGGAUGUUUAAGUCAGUUGUGAAAGUUUGCGGCUCAACCGUAAAACUGCAGUUGAUACUGGAGUCUUGAGUACAGUAGAGGUGGGCGGAAUUCGUGGUGUAGCGGUGAAAUGCUUAGAUAUCACGAAGAACUCCGAUUGCGAAGGCAGCUCACUAGACUGUCACUGACACUGAUGCUCGAGAGUGUGGGUAUCAAACAGGAUUAGAUACCCUGGUAGUCCACACAGUAAACGAUGAAUACUCGCUGUUUGCGAUAUACAGUAAGCGGCCAAGCGAAAGCAUUAAGUAUUCCACCUGGGGAGUACGCCGGCAACGGUGAAACUCAAAGGA
RNAcentral lists this ribosomal RNA (378 nucleotides) under uncultured bacterium. RNAcentral's name for it is "bacterial SSU rRNA". It matches the Rfam family "Bacterial small subunit ribosomal RNA", at positions 527 to 908 of the family's 1533-position model. The record is from RNAcentral.